GGGGGAUGACAGACAACACGACAAGGAAGCACAGUUUGAGCUGAUGCAUUGCUGAUCGACACUGUCACACAGAGGCUAUCUCUGCUGACGCAC
Small nucleolar RNA from Leishmania braziliensis MHOM/BR/75/M2904, 93 nucleotides. The record is from RefSeq and is a predicted model, not a curated record. NCBI's taxonomy places the organism in Eukaryota, Euglenozoa, Kinetoplastea, Trypanosomatida, Trypanosomatidae.